UACAGAGGUCCCGAGCGUUGUUCGGAUUCAUUGGGCGUAAAGGGUGCGUAGGCGGCGGGGAAAGUCUGAUGUGAAAUCCCGGGGCUCAACCCUGGAACUGCAUUGGAUACUUCCUUGCUAGAGUACUGGAGAGGAAACUGGAAUUUACGGUGUAGCAGUGAAAUGCGUAGAGAUCGUAAGGAAGACCAGUGGCGAAGGCGAGUUUCUGGACAGUUACUGACGCUGAGGCACGAAGGCCAGGGGAGCAAACGGG
RNAcentral lists this ribosomal RNA (253 nucleotides) under uncultured bacterium. RNAcentral describes it as "partial 16S ribosomal RNA". It matches the Rfam family "Bacterial small subunit ribosomal RNA", at positions 524 to 776 of the family's 1533-position model. The record is from RNAcentral.